GACGAACGCUGGCGGCGCGCCUAACACAUGCAAGUCGAGCGAUGAAAUUUUAACCGAUCUCUUCGGAGAGAAGAUAAAAUGGAUUAGCGGCGGACGGGUGAGUAACACGUGAGAAACCUGCCUUUCACAAGGGGAUAGCCUCGGGAAACCGGGAUUAAUACCCUAUGACACAUUUCCUUCGCAUGGAAGAAAUGUUAAAACUCCGGUGGUGAAAGAUGGUCUCGCGCCUGAUUAGCUAGUUGGUGGGGUAACGGCCCACCAAGGCCAUGAUGAGUAACCGGCCUGAGAGGGUGAACGGUCACAUUGGAACUGAGACACGGUCCAAACUCCUACGGGAGGCAGCAGUGGGGAAUAUUGCACAAUGGAGGAAACUCUGAUGCAGCGACGCCGCGUGAGCGAUGAAGGCUUUCGAGUCGUAAAGCUCUGUCCUAUGGGAAGAUAAUGACGGUACCAUAGGAGGAAGCCCCGGCUAACUACGUG
Molecule: ribosomal RNA, 480 nt
Filed under: uncultured bacterium
Lineage: Bacteria
Description: partial 16S ribosomal RNA
Rfam family: Bacterial small subunit ribosomal RNA
Source: RNAcentral